Molecule: ribosomal RNA, 440 nt
Filed under: uncultured Brevundimonas sp.
Lineage: Bacteria; Pseudomonadati; Pseudomonadota; Alphaproteobacteria; Caulobacterales; Caulobacteraceae
Description: bacterial SSU rRNA
Rfam family: Bacterial small subunit ribosomal RNA
Source: RNAcentral
CCUACGGGGGGCUGCAGUGGGGAAUCUUGCGCAAUGGGCGAAAGCCUGACGCAGCCAUGCCGCGUGAAUGAUGAAGGUCUUAGGAUUGUAAAAUUCUUUCACCGGGGACGAUAAUGACGGUACCCGGAGAAGAAGCCCCGGCUAACUUCGUGCCAGCAGCCGCGGUAAUACGAAGGGGGCUAGCGUUGCUCGGAAUUACUGGGCGUAAAGGGCGCGUAGGCGGACAUUUAAGUCAGGGGUGAAAUCCCGGGGGUCAAACUCGGAAUUGCCUUUGAUACUGGGUGUCUUUGGUAUGAGAGAGGUGUGUGGAACUCCGAGGGUAGAGGUGAAAUUUGGAGAUAUUCGGAAGGACAACAGUGGCGAAGGGGACACACUGGCUCAUUACUGACGCUGAGGCUCGAAAGCGUGGGGAGCAAACAGGAUUAGAUACCCCAGUAGUC